GGCAGAGUGGCUCAGGUGGUAGAGCUCUUGCCUAGGGAGCAAGAGAUCCUGAGUUCAAACCCCAGUACUGCAA
Molecule: non-coding RNA, 73 nt
Organism: Castor canadensis (American beaver)
Lineage: Eukaryota; Metazoa; Chordata; Mammalia; Rodentia; Castoridae
Source: the annotation of a RefSeq genome assembly